GAUUACUGGGCGUAAAGCGCACGCAGGCGGUUUGUUAAGUCAGAUGUGAAAUCCCCGGGCUCAACCUGGGAACUGCAUCUGAUACUGGCAAGCUUGAGUCUCGUAGAGGGGGGUAGAAUUCCUGGUGUAGCGGUGAAAUGCGUAGAGAUCUGGAGGAAUACCGGUGGCGAAGGCGGCCCCCUGGACGAAGACUGACGCUCAGGUGCGAAAGCGUGGGGAGCAAACAGGAUUAGAA
RNAcentral lists this ribosomal RNA (235 nucleotides) under bacterium. Its description in RNAcentral is "partial 16S ribosomal RNA". It matches the Rfam family "Bacterial small subunit ribosomal RNA", at positions 550 to 783 of the family's 1533-position model. The record is from RNAcentral.